RNAcentral lists this ribosomal RNA (1029 nucleotides) under Candidatus Moeniiplasma glomeromycotorum. RNAcentral describes it as "bacterial SSU rRNA". It matches the Rfam family "Bacterial small subunit ribosomal RNA", at positions 114 to 1194 of the family's 1533-position model. The record is from RNAcentral. Lineage: Bacteria; Bacillati; Mycoplasmatota; Mollicutes; Mycoplasmatales; Mycoplasmataceae.
UGCUUAUCUUACCUGCCGUUUAGUGGGGGAUAAAAUACCGCAUAUUCUGGUUUCGACCAGGAAAGGACUUCGGUUCGCUAAAUGAUGGGGAUAAGGCGUAUUAGUUUGUUGGUGGGGUAAAGGCCUACCAAGACCAAGAUGCGUAGCCAAACUGAGAGGUUGAAUGGCCACAGGGAAACUGAGACACGGUUCCCACUCCUACGGGAGGCAGCAGUGAGGAAUAUUCCGCAAUGGGCGAAAGCCUGACGGAGCGAUGCUACGUGAAGGAUGAAGGUCUACGGAUUGUAAACUUCUUUACUUGGAUGUACUCCUUAAAACUUGCAUCCGAGCAAAAAGUCACGACUAACUAUGUGCCAGCAGUCGCGGUAAGACAUAGGUGGCGAACGUUAUCCGGAAUUAUUGGGCGUAAAGGAUGCGUAGAUGGUAGAAUAAGUUAUUGGUUGAUACCAAACUCAAUUUGGUGGAGGCCGGUAAUACUGUUCGGCUAGAGGGCAGGAGAGGUUGAUGGAAUUCUGUGUGGAGCGGUGAAAUGCGUUGAUCUACAGAGGAACACCAAAAAAGGCGAAGGCAGUCAACUAUUCUGUUCCUGACAUUGAGGCAUGAAAGCGUGGGGAGCAAACCGGAUUAGAUACCCGGGUAGUCCACGCCCUAAACGAUGAGCAUUAGAUAUUGGGCAUUUUGCUUAGUGUCGCAGCUAACGCUUUAAAUGCUCCGCCUGAGUACUACGGUCGCAAGGCUAAAACUCAAAGGAAUUGACGGGGACCCGCACAAGCGGUGGAGCAUGUGGUUUAAUUCGAUACGACGCGCAGAACCUUACCAAGGUUUGACAUGGAGGGCAAAGUUGAAGAAACUCAACGGAGGUUAUCCUGACACAGGUGGUGCAUGGUCGUCGUCAGUUCGUGCUGUGAAGCGUACGCUUAAGUGCUAGAACGAACGCAACCCUCAUAUUUAGUUGCUAUCAUUUAGUUGAGAACUCUAAAUAGACUGCUAAGGUAACUUAGAGGAAGGAGAGGAUCAAGUCUGAUCGUC